This 668-nucleotide ribosomal RNA is filed under the name Vibrio parahaemolyticus. Its description in RNAcentral is "partial 23S ribosomal RNA". It matches the Rfam family "Bacterial large subunit ribosomal RNA", at positions 1 to 715 of the family's 2925-position model. The record is from RNAcentral. Lineage: Bacteria; Pseudomonadati; Pseudomonadota; Gammaproteobacteria; Vibrionales; Vibrionaceae.
GUUGUAUGGUUAAGUGACUAAGCGUACACGGUGGAUGCCUUGGCAGUCAGAGGCGAUGAAAGACGUAGUAACUUGCGAUAAGCCCAGAUUAGGUAGUAACAACCAUUUGAGUCUGGGAUUUCUGAAUGGGGAAACCCACGUGCAUAAGCACGUAUCCUUACCUGAAUACAUAGGGUAAGGAGGCGAACCGGGGGAACUGAAACAUCUAAGUACCCCGAGGAAAAGAAAUCAACCGAGAUUCCGAAAGUAGCGGCGAGCGAAAUUGGACUAGCCCUUAAGCUUUACACGCGUUAGACGAACGGUCUGGAAAGUCCGACGAUACAGGGUGAUAGUCCCGUAGUUGACGACGUGUGUUCAGUGAAAUCGAGUAGGGCGGGACACGUGAUAUCCUGUCUGAAUAUGGGGGGACCAUCCUCCAAGGCUAAAUACUACUGACUGACCGAUAGUGAACCAGUACCGUGAGGGAAAGGCGAAAAGAACCCCUGUGAGGGGAGUGAAAUAGAACCUGAAACCGUGUACGUACAAGCAGUAGGAGCAGGCUUUGUCCUGUGACUGCGUACCUUUUGUAUAAUGGGUCAGCGACUUAUAUUCAGUGGCAAGGUUAACCAUCUAGGGGAGCCGUAGGGAAACCGAGUCUUAACUGGGCGUUCAGUCUCUGGAUAUAGACC